GGCCAGGUUCAAGUCAUAAGUGCUGUCAGUUUCAAGGGGAAGGACUUGGGGGAGCAGAGGGAAAGAAACCAACAAGACUGCCUUACUGUUCUCAGCUUGCCUAAACUUCAGAUAGGUUUCUUCCUGACCUCUUUUCCUAGAGCUUUUAAUUCAGAAAACUUUCUACAGUAAAUUAUUUCCCUGCCCCAUUGUGAUGUAUGUAAAUCUGUUCAAAAGCCUCUUGAUGGUUUUAAAUCCAGUAAUCUCUUUCUCGAAGGCUUAGGAGCCUUCUCUUUGAAAUUUAAGUAUCAGGGGAAACAGUGCCCCAUCUUCCUGUUUCUGUGGGAAGGUAGAAGACUAAUAACCACAGUGUGCCAAACUUGCUGCAAGUUUUAAAACUACUUCCUGUCACGAAGACAUAAAAAAUGUUACUUUUUCUUUGGGCAAAGCCAAUUAACAAACACAAACGAUCUGUGUUCUCCUGCUCACCUCACUUUUUUUUUUUUUUUUUUUUUUUUUUNNNNNNNNNNNNNNNNNNNNNNNNNNNNNNNNNNNNNNNNNNNNNNNUUCCCAGGCUAGGGGUUGAAUCGGAGCUGUAGCCACCGGCCUACGCCAGAGCCACAGCAACGCAGGAUCCGAGCUGCGUCUGCAACCUACACCACAGCUCACGGCAACGCCGGAUCGUUAACCCAAUGAGCAAGGGCAGGGACCGAACCUGCAACCUCAUGGUUCCUAGUCGGAUUCAUUAACCACUGCGCCACGACAGGAACUCCUGCAGUAGCUUUGAAUAAAGUCUCCCUUACGUAUUUAAAUCGGUCCAUUUUCUUUUUAAAUGGGAAAAAAAAAGCAAACUUAAGAAAAGAGAGAAGAGAAGGGAGAUCAAUAAUCAUUAGUCUAAAAAUCUGAUAAAUCACAGCUUUUCUUAAUUACAUGAUUUUAACUGAUCAUUUGGUAGAUAUUGAAAUGCUGAGCCAUCAAGCAGACUAAACCACUGCAAAAUGGAUACAUCACCCAAUAUGAAUCCUUUUUUCAAGAACUCAGUCUUCCAUAGGGAAGGCUCAACUGAGAGGCAUUUGGGGACCCAAUAAGGGCCAGCUAAUUGUGAGGAGGAAGGAAAUAGGAGAGAAAAGAAUAGGUAGUGAAUUCAAAUGCCAUAAAUUCAGGUAUAGUGUUGGCUUCUCAAGAUGACUCUUGGUCUGAUGUUCACCAUCCCAGUGCUUAGUAAACUUAAAGCUUGUUUCAGACACAGGCCCAACGGUCCAGGCUAACAAUGAGGUACUGCAGCCGAAACACAGAGCACAUGUUGGUUAAGGUUGAGCAGGUUACCAGGAGACAGAGAGCUGGGAGGAGUCUUCCUAUCCAAAGGUCGUCGCAAGGACACAGGGAAGAAUGAGCCAGAGAAACAGAAGCCAAACACCAGUCAGAUGGCCUGAAAAAUUGCAUGGGGAGAAAACCACAACUCAGUGGACAUCUAUGUGCCCAUGGCUUUCGGCAGACAUCCUUGGUAUUUUGAUUCUGUCACCAAGACUAACUCCAUAUUCCAGAGGUUAGUGGCAGAGACUGUAAACACAUCCGAUAAUCAUGUUGGUCUUAGAUGCUGGGAGGCAGUGAUGGGAAAUGAUGAAGGGUCAAUGAAAUGGACUAAGCCUUCAGGUGUAGAAAAUAGAGGUUAAUUCUGAAAGGGCUGGGAAAGACUGAACACCUCAUCUGUCUUCAUCUUGGUCAAGGUGCUGGGCCUUGUUCUUUUAAGCGUCUUAAGAACUUUUGAAAAUUCCUGCUACUUUUCUCUCCAGGGGCAAGCAGAGAUAUUUAUGUAAGGGUGUGAUACACGGAACUUUAUCAUCAGCUCACAAAAUGUGAGCCCUUCCCAGAGAGCAAAACAACAUACUCCUAUUGUCUUUCAUUUCUAAAUGCCAGAGGGGAAUAGCUUUUAAUAAAUACUUUUUCACUGCACUUCAGUCGAAUUGCUAUCCUGUGAAAACCGGCCUGAGGAGAAUAACACAUUGCCAAAUUCCCUCCAGUGAGUGCAAAAUAAUACAGUAGGUUCUGGCAGAGAAAUAAAAUGGAAAUCUGAUUACUUUGUUUCAUUCUAUAUGGAGAUAAUGUGUGAGCACAUUUAAAUACAUAAUUCAACGUAUUUCAGCUAUGGUCCUAGAUGAUGAUUUAAUGUCAGCCUAACACUAACCUUGUAACAUGAGAGUUUCAUUUAGAACUGACAACUAAAAAGAAAGUUGAUGAAAUUACACUUUAUUUUAUUUUCUGCAGAGCUAAGCAGACCUGUUUAUUCCAUUCCUAAUGCCAGCUACUGCCAUAAAUUUGAAGAAACUAAACCUACCCAGAGAAGGCCAUACAUAUUAAUAAAGCUGAAAGAAUUGUCUGCUUACCAUAUUGGAAUAGAUUCAACGAAGAAAUAAAAAAUAAAUAAAAUGUGGAGAUCAUUUUCCUGGGUCAAAUUAUAGCAAGUGAUUUAAAGUCCAAAUAGAUUUCUAAUAAAUUACCUUUUAAUUAUAUAAAAUCUGCAACUGUAUUAGGGAUAAGUAAAUGGCUCUUUUUGAAGGAAUGCAGGAUGGCUUUAGGAAAAUGCAGUGCAGAAGGUAAUUUGCAAAAAUGGUUAAGAGUGUAGGAGGCCACCAGUAAGUUAUUACGUUGAGAAUAUUAACACUCUUCAGUAAUAUUGUGGAAGAGCUGAAUUAUAUUACACUGGGAAACAGUUGUAAUGGUAACAACUUUGAGAUGAUUAUUUUUACAAUCAGGUUUCUUUCAUUUUGCAUAUUUUACUUACCUCUUUGGCAAAAAGCAUAGCAUAGCCAGAGAGUUGAGACCCUGACUAGUUUUAAUCCUAACACUAAUUUUCAGGCUACGAAUAUAGCAGACGAUAUAUUAUUAGGGGAUAUGCAGAAUGCUGUGAACAUAGUAAUGGUUCAUGAUGCCCAUGUAGGAGUUCCCAUUGUGGCUCAGGGUUAAGAACCUGACUAGUAUCCAUGAGGAUGCAGGUUCAGUCCCUGGCCUCACUCAGUGGGUUCAGGAUCAGGCAUUGCUGCAAGCUGUGGUAGGUCACAGAUGCAGCUCAGGUCUGGCAUUGCUAUGGCUGUGGCUGUGGUGCAGACUGGCAGGUGCAGCUCUGAUUUGACACCUGACCUGGGAAUUUCCAUACACCGCAGGUCCAGCACUAAAAAGGAAAAAACAAAACCAAAACCAAAACCCAUAAUACCCAUGUAAAGUUCAUGUUAUGGCAUCUGAAAAGCAAUCUCCUUUCAAAGGUCAGUUUUAUAACUGCAACCUUUGUGAUACAGGACAUAGAAGACAACUGUAUUAAUUCCCACAACACAGGAAGGAAAUAAAAAUAAAAAUUUUAGGGGUUCCACAUUUAACUUCCUUAAAUGAUUUUUUUUUUUUUGCAUAGAAAUUUUUGCAAAGAAGUAAAUUAAUUAAGAACUAAUAUAAUGGAUGACCAGGGAAAAGCAAUCCCAAUUUUACCAGAUGCUUAAUGGGUUAUGAAUGACAAGGGUAUAUUCUCAUUUAAUGCCAAAUUUCUGUUAUCUUCUAACCACAAGUAAAAUAGACUUUCGGUCUUAAAGUAAGUUACCUGUGAUAUUAUCAAAUUUUGAGUGCCAAAACAUUUCUUUCACUGAUGACAUUACUUCGUUUGGCUUACAGUGUAGAUUUUAGCAGUGUUUAUCUAUGUAUAUUUAAUUUAAUUAAUAAACUAUAGCCUAUCUUUUUUUUUUAAGUUCCCGUCAUGACUCAGUGGUUAACAAAUCUGACUAGCAUCUAUGAGGACACAGGUUUGAUCCCUGGCCUUGCUCAGUGGAUUAAGGAUCCUACUACAUUGCUGUGGUUGUGGCAUAGGCCGGCAGCUACAGCUCUGAUUUGACCCAUAGCCUGGGAACUUCCAUAUGCCGUGGGUGUGGGC
Molecule: long non-coding RNA, 3892 nt
Filed under: Sus scrofa (pig)
Lineage: Eukaryota; Metazoa; Chordata; Mammalia; Artiodactyla; Suidae
Description: lncRNA (ENSSSCG00060023061.1)
Source: RNAcentral